AUACCCCACGGCUCUUCAUGAUAAGGUCAUGUGUUCCAGUUUGAAUCCAGCUCACGCUGAUGUCGGGAGUAUUGUUAGUCUAGAGCUCUGACUACAACAAGAACCGUCAUCAUGACGACAUUAAACUUGCCGUAACCGGCCGAGGAUUUUCCGAAACUGACAGAAAGUCGUUCUCACCGCCAUCUUCGAUUUCGAAAUUGGCAGCAUACUUCAUCCACUUUCUUGCUGAGAACGACACAGCCAAUCAUCAUCUACUCAGUGCUGACGGCUGUAUUGGGCACGAAGACUGUUCUGAACACCAUUCUUGAAAAUGCCAACAAGGUGCUUGUGAGGGAUGCUGAAGAACAGAUCACGUUAGGCUUGCAGGAGGAUGUGGCACCAUCUUUGCAGCCCACAGUACAACACAGCCCACAGUACAACACAGUCAGCCUGUGACAUAUGUGAAGAAACACCAUCCCAAAAUCGUUGUUACGCCAUCCACAUCAACAGUUAAAUGUAACCAAACUGUCCUGCAAAGUGAAAUGCACAGUACCUCUAAGAAGCUUAACCAUCAUGGACCUCCACUUGGCCAUGUAUAUGUAGAACUUUGACCUUCUUCUGCCAAGCACAUUUCCACAUCUAGACUCCAUCCAUUUUUUAAGAAGGGCUGUGUUCAAGUUAACAAAUCUCUGACCAAACCAUCACCAGUGUGCCCUAAAUCGAACCUGACCUUGAAACAACAGAAACACUAUGAUGAGAAAACAAAGAAGGAUCCAUCAUUGCCACCGUGUUUGAAGGCUGCUGAACAAACCUGCUUCAGACAUCAUCAGGAUUCUUUCUACAAGAAGUCAUCUGUGUACAGUCAGACAUAUGUACUUAAAGGUCUGCCUGAUGAAGAAGGUGACUACAGGAGCUGUGCCAUAAAAUCAUGACAACAUUUUUUCUCCCAAAGACAUCUUUAUUGACAGAUAGUAUUCACAUGUACUAUAUGGGUCAU
This is a long non-coding RNA of Liolophura sinensis, 976 nucleotides long. RefSeq lists it as uncharacterized. The transcript is spliced from 7 exons. NCBI's taxonomy places the organism in Eukaryota, Metazoa, Mollusca, Polyplacophora, Chitonida, Chitonidae. The record is from RefSeq and is a predicted model, not a curated record.